UUUUUUUUGACUAAAUGAACAACCGAAUAGCCGAGAAAAGUCACAUUUUGUAAAUGCAUGUUUUUUUUCCUUUUCGGCUUUAAAUGUGAUUUCGUGAAUUUAAAACCAUUCACAUGGAUUAAGAGGAUUUAGCAAAAUUAACAACGAGAGGAAGAGAGAUGGCAAAUAAUUUAGGACUUGUGAUUUUGCUUCUAGUAAUUGUGCUGGUCUCAUGCUCUAAGUCUAGCGACUGUGCUCUUGCGUCUCCACAAAAGUCACGUCCAUCAUCAGGUUAGUCUUGACACAUAUGCGAAGGAUUUUCAUAAAUGGAACAUAAUCGAUGUUUUCUUCUCUUGGUUUCAGUAAAAUUUUUGGAAGAUCGAAAAAAACUAAUUAGUUGUUUUCAUCUUACUUUUCGGAUUGCUUUAGUCAAUCAAAAUGUUUAAACUGGUUACUUACUUGUUCUUUGAAACAUAUGAUAAGUGUUUUUUUUGUUUUGUUAAAGUAACAUAUGAUAAGUAUUUAUGCUAAUUUUCAAAAAUAUAAAGAAACAAUUACACUUUAUAUAAUAAUUGCCUCUAAAACAUCUUGUAAGAACACGAUGCAAAAUAUUUUUGUUAGCUCGAUCAUGAACUUAUUUUAAAGUCCUCUCUCUAGAUUAUUAAAUAAUAUAUAUCGUGGAUUUUGUUAAUCGAGAUAAAAUUUAAAUCAUCUUUGGUUUUGGAUUUGAUUUCUUAAUUUUGAUAAUUCAAAUGAAGCUUUACAAUUUUUGCAAAAAUCAUUAUUUGAUAAUGUAUUCGUAAGAAAAUAUGAUUGAUCGUCCCACAGAGAGCCAAUACUAGAUAUGUGUAUUAAUAAAAAUUUAACUUAUUUAAUACUUCCAACUUUUUAUUUUGACACCAGUGUUUUGACAUUUAACCACUAUAAUACCUAUUAGUUUUGUUAAUAGUUUUAAAAAUUUAAUUCAUGGAAAAAAAAAACUGAAUUUAAGUUAUUUUUUAUUACUAUAUGUAGAGUGGAGAAGGAAGUUAAUACCAGUACGGUCAUCAAGAAGUCCACGAAGUCCUUCAUUUGCGCCAAAAAAACCGCCGCCACCGCCACCUUCACCGCCUCUGUCACCAUCAUCACCACCAUCAAAUUAAUAAUUGCCAUAUUGAUACUUUCAUAUAGACCGAAUAUGGAUUCUUAGGUUCGUACAUGAUAAUAACAAAAUUAAUCGUUCUUAUUAAGAAAAUGAAUUGAUACAAUAAAACUAUUGUAAAAUGAUUUGUGAAGAAUGCCAUAUUGCCACUCUAUAUAACUGUUUUGUAAAAAAAAUAAAAAUAAUAACUGUUUUGCAUUA
RNAcentral lists this long non-coding RNA (1321 nucleotides) under Arabidopsis thaliana (thale cress). RNAcentral's name for it is "long non-coding RNA (ATHA_LNC000460)". Lineage: Eukaryota; Viridiplantae; Streptophyta; Magnoliopsida; Brassicales; Brassicaceae. The record is from RNAcentral.